AUUGAACGCUGGCGGCAUGCUUUACACAUGCAAGUCGAACGGUAACAGGUUAAGCUGACGAGUGGCGAACGGGUGAGUAAUGCAUCGGAACGUGCCCGAUCGUGGGGGAUAACGCAGCGAAAGCUGCGCUAAUACCGCAUACGAUCUGAGGAUGAAAGCGGGGGACCGUAAGGCCUCGCGCGAUCGGAGCGGCCGGUGUCAGAUUAGGGAGUUGGUGGGGUAAAGGCUCACCAAGGCGACGAACAGUAGCGGGUCUUAGAGGACGAUCCGCCGCACUGAAACUGAGCCGCGGUCCAGCCUCCUAGGGGAGGCAGCAGUGGGGAAUCUAGGACAAUGGGCGAAAGCCUGAUCCAGCAAUGCCGCGUGCGUGAAGAAGUCCUUCGGGUUGUGAAACGCUUUUGUCUGGAAGCAAAUCCUGGCCUCUAGUACAGGUCGGGGAUGAGAGUACCAAAAGAAUAAGGACCGGCUAACUACGUGCCAGCAGCCGCCGUAA
RNAcentral lists this ribosomal RNA (493 nucleotides) under uncultured bacterium. RNAcentral describes it as "partial 16S ribosomal RNA". It matches the Rfam family "Bacterial small subunit ribosomal RNA", at positions 29 to 523 of the family's 1533-position model. The record is from RNAcentral.